RNA transcript from Cimex lectularius (bed bug), 3499 nucleotides. RefSeq lists it as uncharacterized. The record is from RefSeq and is a predicted model, not a curated record. The transcript is spliced from 31 exons. Lineage: Eukaryota; Metazoa; Arthropoda; Insecta; Hemiptera; Cimicidae.
CAAGUACAGUUCAAUUCCGUUUUUGACUUUUUGUCCUCACUGUUUUCGACAGGACCUGUGUUGUUGGCUCGUGAUAAACAAUACAAAAUUCCUGAAUCGAAAUAUUUUAUCUUCUCUUAACGCCGAUACCGAUUAGUCCGUUAUAUGAAAAAGAAAGGCAUGGUAGUAUCGUCUUGUAUGUUUAUAUUAUGAAAAAUGUCCGGCAGCAGGAACACUGGGACUGUGCCCAAAACGAAGCACACCACACGAGCUAGGCGAGAAAAUUCUGUCAACCACAUACCAAACAAUCUAGAGUGGCACCAAGAGGACAGACAAAGGCGAGUCAGGAAAGAGAGUAAUAAUUACGUUUUCCACCUUCCAGACACUGUAGAUGAGUUUUCAUAUGAUUCAAGCUGGAGUUCCAGUUGGGGUCCUUCAAAUAGAACUGACGAUGAUGAAUUGAGGUGGUCAAGUGUAAAAAGCAGCAACAUUACUCCAGAGCGAGGAGGCAUGGAACAACACCAAACAAGAAAACAGCGCCAAGAAAAUCACGUUGUUGAUGAAAGGAUUGUUCCAGAAAACAUUAAGUCUCAGAUGGCAAGAGGAAGGCUAAAGAUGAAAAUAGACCAGUCAGAAAAAAAAAUAGAAGAACUUCAACAUCAGCAAGCGGCAUUAAUGACACUUCGCCAUAAGGCCAUUCAACAGGUGAAACCGGUUCAGAUGGAAGAAAUUCAUCAGUCGCCCAUAGCUUUAAGGAGUAAGGCAAUUCAACAGGUCAAACCUGUUCAAAUGGAAUCCGAAAAAAUUGCAAAAUUGAAUGAAAGAAUGGAUGACCAUAUGAUCCAGCUUCUAAAAGCGAUGGAGAAUGGAAUCGAACCACCAACAGAUCAGCAAGUAAAAAAGAAGCUUAAUGAAUUACUCGCCAAGAAAGCCCAAUGUGAUAAGAUCCUUUGUUGUCUUGAGUCUGAUGUUGUACAAGAAACUCUAGAUGGCCCGGCUAGUCCUAGUAGUGAAGAAUGUGAAAAUGGAAGAAAUGAUUAUCAUGAAAAUGAUGUUUCCCUUGGUGCUGUGGGAGGUGAAGUUGAAGAUCAUCACCAGAAUAUUGAGUCAGGACUUCAGUGGGAUGGAAGUGUUGGAACUUCGAGGAGAGAAGCAGAGAAACAAGAUAACAGGGAGAUUGACAAUAUGGCUGCUAUCUCUGCUUUUAUUGAAAAUAAAGAAAUGAAACUGGAUGAAGUCAUGACAAAAUUUGAACAACUUCAGACCUUGAUGGGACACAUGGAAAAAUUAAGAGAUCUUAAAUUAAAUCAGAGAAGUUUGCAUAGUGAGGGUCUUGCUGAUACUCAACCAGCAGAACAAUUACAAGUUCAGCAGGUACAGAGCAAAAACUGUUCUCAAUACAGUGCAGUUGAGAAACUUCAUUCAAAGAAAGUAGAUGUGGGUCUGGAGACACGGCAAAUGAACUCUUAUCCUCCAAGCACUCAAUCUACUGAUGCUCCUGUCGGCUAUCAUAAUAUGUUCGAUCCAGCAUUAGACAGUUGGCCCGCUCCCUCUUGGAACAGACCAGGACCGACUGGUAAUUCUGUAGAGUCUUCCAGUGAUGAUGGAGAAGUAGAAUAUGAUGAGAGUCCAGUUAAACUGUGUUCGAGCACUCUUCGCCAGCCUUCGAACUUUCGCAAAUUUAGGUCCUUAUUUUCCAGGCGAACUACUCAGCCGAAUGCUCCUAACAGCCUCCCACCUUCUUUUAAGCCUGCACCAAGCCCUGAACAUAGUCAACAUCAAAAUGUUUCUGAGUCGAGGGUUCAGCAGAGAAUACAACAACCAGAUGAAAAUCAUUCCUGCCCGAACAAUUCAUCACUAGCCUAUCAAGUGAAUCAAUUACAAGUGCAGAUGGAGCAAAUAUUUUCUCUGUGCCAAGCUAUGAUGGAAAAACAAGCCCCAUGCUUUAAUGGGGGAGGCCAACAGUGGAUUCCACCUCCACAAGUUCCGCAUCCAGGAUAUUUACACUAUUUGAAUAGCCCUGCUGCAUCUCAGUGGCAGCAACACCAAAUCUUGGUGAACUCUUUGAAUCAAUGUUGCCAAUUGAUUUGCCAUCAACAGAAAGAGCUCUCUGCAUUGAGGCAAGCGUUAGCAAUGCUCCAAGAUGAGAGUAAUAUGUACAAAUGUGGUGGGUAUGGUAACAAUUUGAAUUUUGAAUCUGGGUUGUUUUGGCCUCAGUCAACACCACAGACACUUAACAAUCAAGUACCUCCAGGGAACAGAGCUAACAAUUACUGGGACAAUUUUAGAAGUUAUUCAAGGCAAAACCUUUUGUCUGGAAGAAACAAAAGCAACGAAGGUAGUAUUGCUGAUUCAAGCACAUUGUUAGCACCAACUGGUCUCCCUUUGCCCGUUCAACCUUCCACAACACAAGCUGAAAGUACAUCUAGUAAUUUACAAACAAAUAGAAAGGAUAAUUGUGUUUCUGAUAAUUCAAGUCAUGACAAUUGCAGCCAGAGACAACCUCAGCAAGAAGUUCCAAGUCCUGUUAACAACUGGAAUUUCUCUAGAAGAGCUCAAAGAAGUGGCCAUAAUGCAGAUUCUUCAUCCGUCUUUUCACUUGAACAAUCAAUUUAUAAUGAACUGGAGAUAGUGAUGGCUGAAAGGAACCGUCCUGCUCUCUUACAACUUCUAUCCCAUUUAAAAAUACUUCGAUCAUCAAAAGCUUUUGAUAAAAUAUUUCAGCACCCAUUAGAAGGAGCACAAACCCAGAGGCACAACAGUUGUGAUUUGGACCAAAAUUUGCCAAAUUUUGUUGACAGUUCACAGCAUAGUCAGAUAACAGAUUCUCAGCCUCAACCUCAACCUCAGCCACAACCUCAACCUCAACAUCAACAACAACCACAACCAUCAUUGGCUCAGAUCCUAGCUGGAGCAUCCAAGAUUAUUGACAGAAACAAACAAAAUGACAUUUGCACAUCUGAACUUUUGCAAGAUCUUGUUAUUUAUCUUUCUGAAAGGCUUAAUCCUCAAGUUGUCCAGAAGCUUCAAGCUUCUUUAUCGAAGUUUCACGGAACAAGUUUAAAUGAGGUCGAACAUGUUCUACUGUAUGAUAUUUCAUCAAUUAUAUUGUCACACGAAGAAGAUAUUAAUAUGCAAUUCGAACAUCCUGAACAAGAAGUCGAAGAAGGUGCUGUCGGUGGUAUACCACUUCCUCCUCCUCCUCAGCAUCAACAAAGCCCUCAAGACAAUGUUGAUACAGAGCUUGCUGAAGCUGAUCAACCACAGCAUAAUUCUUCUAGCAAUGCCGAGAAUGGUACCAAAAGGGUUAUAUGUUUUAAUUGCUAAGGUAAAUAUUAUAAUCAUUAUCCAAAAAUUGUGUAGGCAAAAUGAUAAUUUAUAACACUCCUUAAUAUUAUUUAAAGAGUUUAAUUAUUACAGGCUUUUUGGGGAAAGGAUGAAUCUGACUUGCCUACAGUAGAAAUGGACAAUCAAGAACUUCCUCCAAGAGAAGACAACGAAUCAUUACAAAAUUCUUGGU